ACGGUGGAAUAGCUAAAAACCUCAUUUUGAGCACCGUGGCACCGGCCAGCCUGACGAUGCAGAACAGAGAACACCUAAAACCGCAGAAGACGUCAGAAUUUUCUUUAGUCGUAACGACGUAACCUAGAAAAGUCGGUUAGGAUUUCAUUUAAGAAUGUGAUAAAAAGUUUAAGCAGUUUGUUUGUUUGAUCGCCAAAAUGUUCGUUGCGGUGUGUUCUUCGGUGUUCAUAUGGCGUUUCAAAGAAUUGUGAGUUUGUGACUAGAUGCCGCGCGUGCUAUCAGACUCAGUUCUUUUCAUCUGUGUUCCUUGAUGUUGUGACAUGAAUUUGUUCUUUUAAAUAAGUAGAAACAUGCAAAGAAUGCAGCUCUCUGUGAGUGUUUGUGAUUCUGGCUUACUUGCAACUCAAUUUACUCAUCCCCUUUGCUUCAUGUUGGUUGGGUGUACUUCGUGAAGACGAGAUAUAAAUUUGGAGGUGAGAUUAUUAAUCUGUCGACGGGGUUCCGUGACCAAUGAAAUCAAACAAGUAAUCAAUUACGAAAUUGGGGAAACAUGGCGAAAGUAAUCAUGAAUUGGAGUUGUUUGCCAGACGUCAAUGGGGUAUCGAGCCGAUCCUCUCUUGAACUUGGAGAACCCACCAGGAAAAGAGGUAAAAUUAAACUAAGGUUUGCGCUUCAGAUCAAGAAUUGACAAACGUGCCAACCAUCAUCAGUUCGAAUCCAUCGUUAUCUAAAAAAGAAGCCUAUCUAUAAUUUACAAAAUUCAACAUCGAAAUCACUAUCCAAAGAAAAUUAAGCCACAGUGCAAAUCAAGCCAAGACGUUGCGACGUCAUCGGAGCUUCCUUUUGCCCCAUCAUCCUUGAUCAUUCUUUAGGCUUCGUUUUAACACAUUUUUUUCCAAUCGUCCUGAAUAUCCGAUCAAUCUGCCCUAUUAAUUUUUUGUUUACGAUAAUGUUACGAUUAUUGCCUGCCUUGACCGUGUUAACUGUACAUAAUCUGGUUGUGCUUACCUCUGCUGUUUGAUUCUUUUUGAAAAUUAAAUUAAUACGUGUAAUACAUUUAUAUACACCUUUA
Molecule: long non-coding RNA, 1072 nt
Filed under: Daphnia pulex (common water flea)
Lineage: Eukaryota; Metazoa; Arthropoda; Branchiopoda; Diplostraca; Daphniidae
Description: uncharacterized LOC124202002, transcript variant X3
Source: RNAcentral